GACGAACGCUGGCGGCGUGCUUAACACAUGCAAGUCGAACGGAAAGGCCCUUCGGGGUACUCGAGUGGCGAACGGGUGAGUAACACGUGGGUGAUCUGCCCUGCACUUUGGGAUAAGCCUGGGAAACUGGGUCUAAUACCGAAUAUGAUCAUCGGCUUCAUGGUCGGUGGUGGAAAGCUUUUGCGGUGUGGGAUGGGCCCGCGGCCUAUCAGCUUGUUGGUGGGGUAAUGGCCUACCAAGGCGACGACGGGUAGCCGGCCUGAGAGGGUGACCGGCCACACUGGGACUGAGAUACGGCCCAGACUCCUACGGGAGGCAGCAGUGGGGAAUAUUGCACAAUGGGCGCAAGCCUGAUGCAGCGACGCCGCGUGAGGGAUGACGGCCUUCGGGUUGUAAACCUCUUUCAGCACAGACGAAGCGAAAGUGACGGUAUGUGCAGAAGAAGGACCGGCCAACUACGUG
RNAcentral lists this ribosomal RNA (462 nucleotides) under uncultured bacterium. RNAcentral's name for it is "partial 16S ribosomal RNA". It matches the Rfam family "Bacterial small subunit ribosomal RNA", at positions 28 to 507 of the family's 1533-position model. The record is from RNAcentral.